UGGCUCUGGCAUCGAUGAAGAACGCAGCGAAAUGCGAUACGUGAUGCGAAUUGCAGAAUCCACGAGUCAUCGAAUCUUUGAACGCACAUUGCGCCUGCUGGUAAUCCGGCAGGCAUGCCUGUCCGAGCGUCAUUUCCACCCUCGGGCUCUGGUCUGUCGACCGGGUCCUGGUGUUGGAGAUCUGCCCCUCUCCCGCGGCAGUCUCCGAAAAGCAGCGGCGGACUGUCCCGUUCCCGAGCGCAGUCAAUGUCUAGCUCGGGGUUUCGCGUGGCGGCCAUCCAGCCUUACACGUCAGCCGCGCGCGCGCCGCGCGGCCGGCUCCCUAGCCCUCGGCUACUGUGAACGACCUCGGAUAGGUAGGACUACCCGCUGA
Molecule: unclassified non-coding RNA, 373 nt
Filed under: uncultured fungus
Lineage: Eukaryota; Fungi
Description: partial contains 5.8S ribosomal RNA and internal transcribed spacer 2
Rfam family: 5.8S ribosomal RNA (bases 1-132)
Source: RNAcentral